UCCGAGGUAAUGAUUAAUAGGGACAACUGGGGGCAUUCGUAUUGCGACGUUAGAGGUGAAAUUCUUGGAUCUUCGCAAGACGGACAGAAGCGAAAGCAUUUGCCAAAUGUGUUUUCAUUAAUCAAGAACGAAAGUUAGAGGUUCGAAGGCGAUCAGAUACCGCCCUAGUUCUAACCAUAAACUAUGCCAGCUAGCGAUCCGCUGAAGUUCCUCCGAUGACUCGGCGGGCAGGUGGUGGUGCAUGGCCGUUCUUAGUUGGCGAAGUGAUUUGACUGGUUAAUUCUUGGCAUGCACUUCUCUCUCAGUGCCACGAAUUUAUUCGCGCCAGACCCCGCCUGCUCCGGCCGACUGCCAGACGGUAUAAAUGAUAUAGGGUUGCUUUUAUAAGCGUUCGGCCGGUUGCAAGCACGGACGGUUAUUGGCCGUCGGACCUAGUCCGGCAUCGAUGGCGUCUCGAGCUGUUAGCUACCGUGUUCUCGGACGGACUCUAUUACCGGUCAGCGAUGCUAUUGCUUUGGGUACUUUCAGGACCCGUCUUGAAACACGGACCAAGGAGUCUAGUAUGUGCGCGAGUCAUUGGGUAAUACAAAACCUAAAGGCGCAAUGAACGUAAAGGUUUGCUUAAGUAAACUGAGGGAUGACGAACCGCAUCUACGGAUGCGUGCUUGCAAUCCCGGGGCGUCUCACUCUCAUUGCGAGAAGAGACGCACUCAGAGUGUACACGCUAGGACCCGAAAGAUGGUGAACUAUGCUCGGCCAGGUCGAAGUCAGGGGAAAUCCUGAUGGAGGACCGUAGCGAUUCUGACGUGCAAAUCUUUCGUCGGAACUGGGUAUAGGGGCAAAAGACUAAUCGAACCAUCUAGUAGCAGUUUCCCUCCGAAAUUUCCCUCAGGAUAGCUGGCAUUCGAUGAGCGAGUCUCAUCCAGUAAAGCAAAUGAUUAGAGGCCUUGGGGCCGAAACGAUCUCAAACUAUUCUCAAACUUUAAAUGGGUGAGAUCUCUGGCUUGCUUGAAUAGUGAAACCAGAGAUUUGGAUCAGAGUGCCUAGUGGGCCACUUUUGGUAAGCAGAACUGGCGCUGUGGGAUGAACCAAACGACGUUAAUAGGAUAACAUGAAAGGCGUUGGUUGCUUAAGACAGCAGGACGGUUGUCAUGGAAGUUGGAAUCCGCUAAGGAGUGUGUAACAACUCACCUGCCGAAGCAACUAGCCCUGAAAAUGAAUGGCGCUGAAGCGUCGUGCCUAUACUCGGACGCCAGGGCAUAAGAAACGUUCAUAAUAGUUCGUUUCGACGCCCUGGUGAGUAGGAGGGUCGCGGUGGUGGGCCCAGAAGGGUUUGGGCGUAAGCCUGCCUGGAGCCGCCAUCGGUGCAGAUCUUGGUGGUGGUAGCAAAUACUCUAGCGAGGACCUGGAGGACUGACGUGGAGAAGGGUUUCGAGUGAACAGCCGUUGCACACAAGUCAGUCGAUCCUAAGCCCCAGGAGAGAACCUAUAUUGAUGUUGGUGUAUUUUAUUUUGAAUAAAAUUUUACACCGAUCGGGCGAAAGGGAAUUCGGUUCCUAUUCCGGAACCCGGCAGCGGAACCGUUUACAAGUCGGGCCCUCGCAAGAGAGUUCGUCGGGGUAACCCAAAAUGACCUGGAGACGCCGUCGGGAAAUACGGGGAGAGUUUUCUUUUCUGUAUGAGCGUUCGAGUUAUCUGGAAUCCUCUAGAAGGCAGAUAGGGUUUGGAACGCGAACAGCACCGCUGUUGCGGCGGUGUCCGUAUCUUUCCCUCGGACCUUGAAAAUCCAGGAGAGGGCCACGGUAGGUGUCGCGCCGGUUUGUACCCAUAUCCGCAGCAGGUCUCCAAGGUGAAGAGCCUCUCGUCGAGUUGGGAAGCGGGCGUAGGCCAAUCUGCCGGGCCUGGGCAAGGUGAAAUUGUCCUUGUGACUUAGAUCCGAGCUCGGUCCCGUGUCUAGGCCUCCCGCGGAUCUUUCUUGCUGCGAGGUUUCUGUGCCGGCUUUGGUCGGUCAUUCGUACUCUUCGGCCACCAUUCAACGAUCAGCUCAGAACUGGCACGAACUAGGGGAACCCGACUGUCUAAUUAAAACAAAGCAUUGCGAUGGCCCUAGCGGGUGUUGAUGUGAUUUCUGCCCAGUGCUCUGAAUGUCAACGUGAAGAAAUUCAAGCAAGCGCGGGUAAACGGCGGGAGUAACUAUGACUCUCUUAAGGCCUCGUCAUCUAACUAGUGACGCGCAUGAAUGGAUUAACGAGAUUUCCACUGUCCCUAUCUACUACUAUCUAACUGCUACAUGCAGUUCUCAGUCGACAUAAGUAUCUUCCUGCGAAAGCUGGACAAAAUCCUCAGGAACCUGGCCGGCCGCCGCAUCAUAGUCACUACAGACGCAAAUGCAAAAUCCUGUCUGUGGUUUUCGAAAACUCUGGAUAGCAGAGGUAAGGAACUAGAGGAGUGGAUCGCCUCUAACCAAGUUGUUUUGAAUGAGCCUAGUCACAACUACACAUACCAAAGUGAAGCUGGGGACACAAAUAUAGAUGUAACACUUACAACCCCAAAUAUGUCUUUAAAAGUGAUCAACAGUAAUGUGAGUCAUAUAGCG
RNAcentral lists this ribosomal RNA (2596 nucleotides) under Ctenocephalides felis (cat flea). Its description in RNAcentral is "eukaryotic LSU rRNA". The stretch from base 1 to 2304 matches the Rfam family "Eukaryotic large subunit ribosomal RNA", at positions 396 to 3401 of the family's 3401-position model. Lineage: Eukaryota; Metazoa; Arthropoda; Insecta; Siphonaptera; Pulicidae. The record is from RNAcentral.